GACGAACGCUGGCGGCGUGCUUAACACAUGCAAGUCGAACGGAAAGGCCUGCUUUCCCUUGUGGAUUGCGGGUACUCGAGUGGCGAACGGGUGAGUAACACGUGAGUGAUCUGCCCCCAACUUGGGUAUAAGCCUGGGAAACUGGGUCUAAUUCCCGAUAGGACUGCAGGGUGGUGCCUGUGGUGGAAAACGAUUUUCUAGUGGUUGGGGAUGAGCUCGCGGCCUAUCAGCUUGUUGGUGGGGUAAUGGCCUACCAAGGCGGCGACGGGUAGCCGGCCUGAGAGGGUGGACGGCCACAUUGGGACUGGGAUACGGCCCCGACUCCUACGGGAGGCAGCAGUGGGGAAUAUUGCACAAUGGGCGGAAGCCUGAUGCAGCGACGCCGCGUGGGGGAUGACGGCCUUCGGGUUGUAAACUCCUUUCGACCGCGAGGAAGCCACCUGGUUGGAAGGGUGGUGACGGUAGUGGUAGAAGAAGCACCGGCUAACUACGUG
This 494-nucleotide ribosomal RNA is filed under the name uncultured bacterium. Its description in RNAcentral is "partial 16S ribosomal RNA". It matches the Rfam family "Bacterial small subunit ribosomal RNA", at positions 28 to 507 of the family's 1533-position model. The record is from RNAcentral.